Molecule: ribosomal RNA, 397 nt
Filed under: uncultured bacterium
Lineage: Bacteria
Description: partial 16S ribosomal RNA
Rfam family: Bacterial small subunit ribosomal RNA
Source: RNAcentral
AUACGUAGGUGACAAGCGUUAUCCGGAUUUACUGGGCGUAAAGGGCGUGUAGGCGGUCUUGCAAGUCAGAAGUGAAAUUCCUGAGCUCAACUCGGGCGCUGCUUCUGAAACUGCAGGACUUGAGUGCUGGAGGGGAUAGCGGAAUUCCUAGUGGAGCGGUAAAAUGCGCAGAUAUUAGGAAGAACACCGGUGGCGAAGGCGGCUAUCUGGACAGUAACUGGCGCUGAGGCGCGAAAGCGUGGGGAGCAAACAGGAUUAGAUACCCUGGUAGUCCACGCCGUAAACGAUGAUUACUAGGUGUAGGGGGUAUCGACUCCCUCUGUGCCGCAGUUAACACAAUAAGUAUUCCGCCUGGGGAGUACGGCCGCAAGGUUGAAACUCAAAUGAAUUGGCGGGG